This is a long non-coding RNA of Olea europaea var. sylvestris, 947 nucleotides long. RefSeq lists it as uncharacterized. The record is from RefSeq and is a predicted model, not a curated record. The transcript is spliced from 2 exons. NCBI's taxonomy places the organism in Eukaryota, Viridiplantae, Streptophyta, Magnoliopsida, Lamiales, Oleaceae.
UAAAAAGUAUGAACAUUUUAUACAAUAACAUUGAAAGGCAAUGACAUUUUGUGGUAGUUAUAAAUAUAAUUAGAGAAUAUUUUGAAGAUGAUCUAGGUUCUACAAGUACAUCUUUAUUUUAUUGAGGGCAAAAUGGGAAAAUUAAUCAAUUAGGGUUUCUCGCCCCUCUUAUAUAAAUAAAAAAUAGUGAGUACGGGGCUACAGAAUUCAAAAGAGGGAUCUGUAUGAGAGGCCUAAAUGCCUUUCCUGUCACUCUCAAUUCAUUUCACGAUCUGUAAUUCUAACAAACCCUAAAUUUUCGAAAAUAUUAAAGAAUGGAGGGUAGCGAAUUAUGGAGGUCUCAGAUUUGAUUGAAAAGGUUUGCUAACUUGAUUGAAGAAAAGAAGCUAUUAAGACGAGCAAUUACAUCCCCAGUGGAGUUCCAUAACUUACAGCAAUGGUUUGCAUCCAUCGUGAAAAAUUCUUCUUUGCAGAUAACAAGGAAUUCCACAUCCUUUAGCACUUCAUUGUGGACGAAGUAAUUGAUCAAGAGAUUGUUGAACAUUGAAGAAGGCAGUUAUUGCUGUUGGGCGAAUUCUUAGAGUGUAGAAUGAUAUCAAUUGUUGGGACAAUAAGUAUGGGUAAGACUACUUUAGCCUGGAGAAUUUAUACGAAUGUCACAAUUAGGUUUGAUUGUUAUGCAAUUAAUCUAUGUCUCGUGAGACAAUAGUAAAGGGAAUUUUUCUUGAAAUGGCAAAUAAACGAUCAAACCUAUUUAUUACGUUCCUGUAAAUUCUCCUGGCAAGAGUGGUCUUACCCAUAUUUCUAGUUCCAACAAAUGAUAUUAUUUUUCGCUGCGAGUUUUGGCUCAACAAGUUAUUGACAUUUAAACACUACUGUAAUUAUCGUUAUAAGUUGAAUAUAUUCCAUGGAGACGCUUUCUUCUUUUUAAACCGGCUCUUUCAAAA